This is an RNA transcript of Fukomys damarensis (Damara mole-rat), 2045 nucleotides long. It is a transcript of the gene named BEN domain containing 6, with no coding region annotated. NCBI's taxonomy places the organism in Eukaryota, Metazoa, Chordata, Mammalia, Rodentia, Bathyergidae. The record is from RefSeq and is a predicted model, not a curated record. The transcript is spliced from 6 exons.
UGCUGUGGUAUCGGAGUCUUGAAUGCCAGAUAUUAAAACUUCACUGUUACCAGAUGACUGUUAUUACCGGAUACGGACCAAUAUCAAGUUGUUACGAAAUGUUGCUGCUGAUCUGUUACCAGUGUCAUCUGGCACGUAUUCUGUGUGUGUAGUGAAAGGAAAUGUUUUCUUUCUCAGCUUGGUGUUAGAGACAAUGAUGAGGAAGAGCCUGACGAGGAUGAGGACGACAUUGAGAACAUACUUGAAGCGUUUACAAAAGAUGAGCGAGGAAGAUGAGCAGGAAAUCGAUGCAGUUGAACGCCUGAGAAGUGAACUGGGAGAAAAAUUUGAAACAGAUAUGAAUAUUUUACAAAUGAUACAGUUCAAGAUUGAAAAAUGGCAAAUUGCCCGUUGUAAUAAGAACAAACCUCAGAAGUUUAUUAAUGAUUUAAUGCAAGUACUUUACACAAAUGAAUACAUGACCACACACAGUCUGACUGGGGCAAAAUCUUCUACUUCAAAAGACAAAGCCGUAAAACCAGCUAUGAAUCAGAAUGAAGUUCAAGAGAUCAUAGGAGUAACAAAACAGCUGUUUCCCAAUACAGAUGAUGUUUCAAUUAGGAGAAUGAUAGGGCAAAAACUCAACAACUGUACCAAGAAGCCAAAUAUACUGAAUGUAUCCAAAAGAAAGGACUUCCAUCAUGCAGCUAACACCGGACUGCAGUGGACGUCUGUGCCCUCCCUGGCAUUUUCCAUAUUUAGAUUCUCUGAACGAGAAGGACAGUCUCAACCAAAACGAGUGCAGCAAAAGUGCCAGUGAAAACUCCUGAUGCUCAGCCUGCAGCAGCCCUGGACUCACUCGGAUAUUAGAGUGAUAGGUUACAGGUUUCGAGAACCCGGGGCCCAGGAGAGACACUGGGAGGAGGAGCUUCACUGUUGGCCCAUCUGCCUCUUUGGAAUUUGGUGCUUAUAACUUGCUAUCCCAGCUGUAAGUGAUAAGGAGUCCUCUGCCUGAGACCAACAAGUGGCUUGCUGUUUUCACACAGCUCCUCAGAUCUGUCUGCCCCCCAGUAGAGGCUUCCUCAUACCAGCUCUGACCAGUGCCUCAAGCAGUUUGUGGCAGCUUGUUCUCCUGCAGAGGAACAGGAAUUCCGGAUCUCCCAGGCUCAUUGUUUUCUUAUCCUUUAUUUCUGUUUUCUUUUUAUGAGACUUAUCUUUUUUUUUCUCUCCCCUACAAAUUAUUUUUCAUUUUAUAUAGAUAAUUGUAUCAACCUUUUCUUUUACUGUUGGUGAAAUCUGGUCACAGGGAGAAGGGAUUUUUCACUCCCAAGUUAUAAAAGUAAUGACCCAUGUUUUUUUUUUUCCUACAAUUAAAUUUCUGACUUGUGAAUCUGUCCUAAUAUAUAGUAUGAAGUGUGGGUACAAUUUCUACCUUUUCCAAGUGAUUCCCCACUACUUCAAAAGCCCAUGUUGUUAUUCACUGCUGACUCCCACUGGCAAUGUGAUGUUGUAUUUCCAUGUGCACUUAAAGUCCUUGACUGAUUUUUUUCUGUCUCGUAAUCUGUGUCUCUGAUAACCAGUACUCUGCUCUUUGAAGUAUAGAGACUAGGAGACUUACAAAGAUUUCUUAUACAGGUUUUGCAUCCUCAAUAAACUUGUGCUUUACCUUAAAAAAAAAAAGAAAAAGAAAAAGAAAGCAUUUCACUGGCCUCUCAUAGCAAGUUAGGAAACAUCUUUUCAAUGCAGUUUUCUCCAAGGCAUUUCAGAGCUUUACAAAUGAUUAGUCUGGGGGAGGCACUGGGAGCUCAUUGUGAUGGGUCCCGCUGGUGUCCCUUAAAUGUAGUUGUCAGGGAAGCACCUGUAGGUUUAGGGUACUCCCUGAAACUGCAAGAAAUAGAACAGAUUGACACCAGCUACCAACAUAAGAAAUGAUAUGCUACCUUCUCUUCUCAUAUAGACUUGCAAAAAUAGGCCUUAGACUGAGAAACUAAUUAUCUUCUGAUAAUUAAUCACAAAUCGCAUAAACACCUUAACGUUAGGGAAUUGAUCAUGUUAAAUUAUGCUGU